RNAcentral lists this transfer RNA (80 nucleotides) under Nocardia farcinica IFM 10152. RNAcentral describes it as "putative tRNA-Pro". It matches the Rfam family "tRNA". Rfam says of the family: Transfer RNA (tRNA) molecules are approximately 80 nucleotides in length. Their secondary structure includes four short double-helical elements and three loops (D, anti-codon, and T loops). The record is from RNAcentral. Lineage: Bacteria; Bacillati; Actinomycetota; Actinomycetes; Mycobacteriales; Nocardiaceae.
CGGGGUGUAGCGCAGCUUGGUAGCGCAUCCGCUUUGGGAGCGGAGGGUCGCAGGUUCAAAUCCUGUCACCCCGACCAUCU